CCUUUGUUAUUUUUCUUCGAAAUAUAUUGAAUUUCUCUCAAUCCAAGACCCAUUUGUUCUGCGCAGCAUUUCCUUCUGCAGGAUACAAGGCCCUAUUCAGUUCAUAGACACUAUUUUCGGAUCAUGGGUUCACAGGAUCCUGUUCUGGCUGACAAGGCUAAUGUAACGGAGGCCUCAGUGCGCGGAUGACCCAUGCAUGAGAAGAAUGAGAUCAGAGAGGAGGAUAAUUCUGCUGGCAGAGUCUCGUGCUGACGAUCACCACGAAUGGCUUACUUAUUGGAUUUAAUUUUCUCUGAUUACACUGUUUGAACUGAUAACCAUUGCCGAAGCCAUUGAGUGGUAAUUCUUUUUCUUUUUCAAAAUGUAGUUCCUAUGUUUUAUUUCACUUAUUUAUAUAUGGGUUUGCAUUGAAUGUGAUCAAAGGAGCAGUAUGGUUCUUUUUCAAAAUUGAUUCAUAAAAUUUUAGCGUGAAUUUUUCGUUUUGCUGUUGUAGUUAACUUUGUAAUUGCAUGAAUAAAUUAUUGGUAGUAGUUAACUUUGUAACUGCAGGAAAGAAAUAUGUAGCGCAUGUACUUGUUUUAAUAUUCAAAUCUUUAAUCUACUGAUGCCAUGAAAUCUUUGAUAUACAAAAUAAAAUAAAGCCAUAAAAUCUUUGAUAUACAAAAUAAAAUAACACUAGGAUAGUUCUAAAUGCAUGUAAAGCAGCUCCAAAAACCCACGAAAAUGAGUUGUAACACCACGAUCCACAUCCUCCAUAGAACCAGCAGCCAAACCAUGUUGAUGAUAAUGAUGAUACAAAUUCCUAAGGUACCUAAGAAGAUCCUCCACAUCCCCACUGUAAUUUACACGCGGUUUUAUACGGGAUUUUAUAUUUUUGAUGACGACAGAUUUCUUUUGUUUUCUUGAUGGGGAGGAGUUUCUAUGGUUAUAAACACCCAACAUAAAUUUAUCCAUGUUAUUAAGGGUUGAAGUAGAGUUCCAGGAUUUGAAAAUGUCAAAAGCGGGUCUUGCCAACGCGAAUUCGACUUUUAUACCAGUUCGACCACUCCUCGUAGUUUCAUAGUGAUCAAAGAGACGCAUCCUUUUAUCAGCAUCUAACAAAAACGGAUGACCCACCACUUUUUUCACAAAUUCAUCAUAGCUGAAAGGACAAAAAGAACAAUAUCCUAUAAGAAAGAAAUGAAGUGAAAAAAAUAAAAUAAAAUAAAAUAAAAGAGAUAGACAACUCACUCCAACUUCUUGUUUCUCUUAGCACGGUUGACAAAAUCAAAGAAGUGUUGACAUUCCAGCCAACUUCUUUUGCCCCCCGCUAGUAUCGAUUCGAACCAGUUGUCCAACAUCCCUAAAAGGUCCGUAAUAUCUGCUUUCUUUUGCCACUCACGGCCGUCUUUAAAUUCAUACUCAUACAAAUCUCCCUCAAUGUUAAUUACCUUUCAGACAUUUGUCAAUAAAUACAUAAUUACUCUCCGAACCCAACCCACCAUGAUAUAACCCCUUAGAAUGUAUACGACCAACACCCUUAAUCAACUUCCUACAAACAAUACGAAGAAUUUACGUCAAAUACAAUUAAAACAAAACUAUGGCCAAUAAUUUUUACAAAAUCUAACCAAAUACUUUAAAACAACACCAUCAUUAGCUGCGGCAGUAUUUCGAAAUAUUUUUAUUGCAUCUUCUCGUCUAGCAACUUUUACAAACACCACAUCUAUCAGUUCCCCGCGAAGAUCAGAAGAUAUAUACAAACUCCCCUCAUACAAUUCUUGAGAAAUUCUAUUAUUCAACUUGAAACUGUAACAACAAAGCCCAGAACCAACGACCAUGUCCUGUGAAUUAUUGCCACGAAGCAGCAACCGUUGAAUAAAGUCAGGUAACUCUCUCAGGUAAUCCAUUUUACCGAAAAGAAUUCUUAGCAAGGAAAGUAAUCUGCAAGAAAAGAUAGAAACAAAGAAACAUUUAAUAAAACACAUUGCACCUUCUCCAGCAACUGAGAUCAAAAAGAAGAGUAAGGUAAAAAAAAAAAAAGAGUAAGGUAAAAUUUUAAUUAGCCAGCAAACAAGGUACACAUUGCAAACAGUAUCCUUAGAAAAACACAUUGAGCUCAAAAAGAAGAGUAAGGUAAAAAAAAAAAAAAAAAAAA
This is a long non-coding RNA of Prunus persica (peach), 2134 nucleotides long. RefSeq lists it as uncharacterized. The transcript has 3 exons. The record is from RefSeq and is a predicted model, not a curated record. Lineage: Eukaryota; Viridiplantae; Streptophyta; Magnoliopsida; Rosales; Rosaceae.